Long non-coding RNA from Odocoileus virginianus texanus, 879 nucleotides. RefSeq lists it as uncharacterized. The record is from RefSeq and is a predicted model, not a curated record. Lineage: Eukaryota; Metazoa; Chordata; Mammalia; Artiodactyla; Cervidae.
CACACUUACCCGCCCGCUCCAGGGGAGAUUGACAGCUUUUCAUGCUUCUACGCCAAGAGAGUGGCAAGUCCUGUAUUGACUGAUUAUACUGUCCCUCGCACAUAAGGCUGAUCUCCCGUCUGCUGCCUGUACCUGCAGGUUGUUUGUUUCUUAUGCGGCCCUGCAGGAAGCACUUAUCGAAGGAGCAUGAAAGCCCCCCUCUGAGUGAACAAGAAAAGGACCUGUCCCAUUAUUACCACUCCGGGGAAGGCAUCCAACCUUGACAAAGAAAUGCCAGAUGCUGUUCCUGCAGUCCAUCCCAGCUUUUGCAUCGGUCAUGCAUUAUUAAACAAGAUGAUAAAGAAAAGAGGAGCAUUAAGGAUGACUCCAUAACUUACUAGAUGAAUUAAGAACCCAUUUACUGACUCAGGGAAACUAGAAGGAGGAGUAAAUGGUCUUGGACUUAUUAAGUUGGACAUGCUUGUAUAUGGAGAUGUCAAAUAAAUUUGGAGAUGCUUGAACAAAGAAAUCAAUACACUGAGAAGGAUGGAAGGCAGGUCACUCAAGUCAAGAAAGGGAGUUAAAAAUAAGGAGUUAUCUAACGUUACUUAAAAAUAAUGGAGUUACCUAAAAAUAAGAGAACAAAAUGCUAUUUCCACUAAAAGGGACCAGAAGUCUUUGGGGAAAAGGUUGAUCACUGGCCUACGUCACAGAAAGAACAAUAGGCACCUGGAUCACAUUGUGCCGGAAAACAAAGAAGUGUCAAAGAAUCACAGAGACGUAUCCAAGAUAUAGGAGCCAGCUUGAAGGAUUUCCUCUGAUCCGAAGUGGGACAAUAUCAUAGUCUCAAACUAAGCAAUAGUUGUCAUUUUUUAUAUAAUUCCCCUUGAAUAGAAUAAA